GUGAACGCUGGCGGUCGGCCUAACACAUGCAAGUCGCACGGCAGCACAGUAAGAGCUUGCUCUUACGGGUGGCGAGUGGCGGACGGGUGAGGAAUACAUCGGAAUCUACUUUUUCGUGGGGGAUAACGUAGGGAAACUUACGCUAAUACCGCAUACGACCUACGGGUGAAAGCAGGGGAUCUUCGGACCUUGCGCGAUUGAAUGAGCCGAUGUCGGAUUAGCUAGUUGGCGGGGUAAAGGCCCACCAAGGCGACGAUCCGUAGCUGGUCUGAGAGGAUGAUCAGCCACACUGGAACUGAGACACGGUCCAGACUCCUACGGGAGGCAGCAGUGGGGAAUAUUGGACAAAGGGCGCAAGCCUGAUCCAGCCAUACCGCGUGGGUGAAGAAGGCCUUCGGGUUGUAAAGCCCUUUUGUUGGGAAAGAAAAGCAGCAGGUUAAUACCCCGCUGUUCUGACGGUACCCAAAGAAUAAGCACCGGCUAACUUCGUG
RNAcentral lists this ribosomal RNA (491 nucleotides) under uncultured bacterium. RNAcentral describes it as "partial 16S ribosomal RNA". It matches the Rfam family "Bacterial small subunit ribosomal RNA", at positions 29 to 507 of the family's 1533-position model. The record is from RNAcentral.